AACGAACGCUGGCGGCAUGCCUAACACAUGCAAGUCGAACGAUACCUUCGGGUCUAGUGGCGCACGGUUGCGUAACGCGUGGGAACCUGCCCUUAGGUUCGGAAUAACUCCCCGAAAGGGGUGCUAAUACCGGAUAAUGUCUCCGGCCCAAAGAUUUAUCGCCGUUGGAUGUGCCCGCGUUGGAUUAGCUAGUUGGUAGGGUAAAAGCCUACCAAGGCGACGAUCCAUAGCUGGUCUGAGAGGAUGAUCAGCCACACUGGGACUGGGACACGGCCCAGACUCCUGCGGGAGGCAGCAGUGGGUAAUAUUGGACAAUGGGCGGAAGCCUGAUCCAGCAAUGCCGCGUGAGUGAUGAAGGCCUUAGGGUUGUAAAUCUCUUUUACCCGGGAUGAUAAUGACGGUACCGGGAGAAUAAGCUCCGGCUAACUCCGUG
Molecule: ribosomal RNA, 433 nt
Filed under: uncultured bacterium
Lineage: Bacteria
Description: partial 16S ribosomal RNA
Rfam family: Bacterial small subunit ribosomal RNA
Source: RNAcentral